RNAcentral lists this long non-coding RNA (658 nucleotides) under Sander lucioperca (pikeperch). RNAcentral describes it as "lncRNA (ENSSLUG00000000190.1)". Lineage: Eukaryota; Metazoa; Chordata; Actinopteri; Perciformes; Percidae. The record is from RNAcentral.
CGGCGGACUACCAACAAGGAGACAGCACCACCUAGUAAAUGCGACUGGCAGCGAGCUGGAAGACAGACGAGAGACAUAUUUAACCGUUCGUUUUUAGAUUUUUCUCGCUGAUAUUUCGCAUGAAGCAGUUUCCCUCUUGUUUCAGCCACAGAGACCGCGGUGAUGGAAGACGAGGAGAGGCAAAAGAAGCUGGAGGCCGGCAAAGCAAAGCUGUCAGUCCCAGCAAACAUGCGCCCUGCUGACAGCCGGGGGUUGGCUCGCCGGGGCUUAGCACAGCUACUGCUAGCCACAGACUCCUUUGUCAUCCUGCUUGUCUAACGUUACUCCGAUGUUUUAUUUUACUUUUCUGAAACGUGCAGUAGUGUGUACGCAAUGCCAACUUAAUCACCCACAAGUCAAGCCGCCACAUCGUUAUCAAAGGCUUAUUAACGCCACCUGAAGUGUGCCGGACAGGCUGGUGUAACAGGAUUUACAGGACAUAUCCCCACUAGCUAGCGCAAACAUUGCCCCACAUGUCAAAUUGGCGUGCUACAUUGGCUUUUUCAAUCAUCAGCAUCAACAUUUAGGUCAGGAGGACAACCCCCACCCAUCCAAUAACUGAUGUAAAACAAUGUUACUUGCUACAACAAGGGUAAUGCUUUUGCCUUGUAAACCUGGA